This 497-nucleotide ribosomal RNA is filed under the name uncultured bacterium. RNAcentral's name for it is "partial 16S ribosomal RNA". It matches the Rfam family "Bacterial small subunit ribosomal RNA", at positions 28 to 507 of the family's 1533-position model. The record is from RNAcentral.
GAUGAACGCUGGCGGCGUGCCUAAUACAUGCAAGUCGAGCGAACAGAUAAGGAGCUUGCUCCUUUGACGUUAGCGGCGGACGGGUGAGUAACACGUGGGUAACCUACCUAUAAGACUGGAAUAACUCCGGGAAACCGGGGCUAAUGCCGGAUAACAUUUAGAACCGCAUGGUUCUAAAGUGAAAGAUGGUUUUGCUAUCACUUAUAGAUGGACCCGCGCCGUAUUAGCUAGUUGGUAAGGUAACGGCUUACCAAGGCAACGAUACGUAGCCGACCUGAGAGGGUGAUCGGCCACACUGGAACUGAGACACGGUCCAGACUCCUACGGGAGGCAGCAGUAGGGAAUCUUCCGCAAUGGGCGAAAGCCUGACGGAGCAACGCCGCGUGAGUGAUGAAGGUCUUCGGAUCGUAAAACUCUGUUAUUAGGGAAGAACAAAUGUGUAAGUAACUGUACACGUCUUGACGGUACCUAAUCAGAAAGCCACGGCUAACUACGUG